This 2898-nucleotide ribosomal RNA is filed under the name Clostridioides difficile. RNAcentral's name for it is "23S ribosomal RNA". It matches the Rfam family "Bacterial large subunit ribosomal RNA". The record is from RNAcentral. Lineage: Bacteria; Bacillati; Bacillota; Clostridia; Peptostreptococcales; Peptostreptococcaceae.
GGUCAAGUUAUUAAGGGUGCAGGGCGGAUGCCUUGGCACUAGGAGCCGAUGAAGGACGUGAUAAGCUGCGAUAAGCUUCGGGGAGUUGCACGUAAACUUUGAUCCGAAGAUUUCCGAAUGAGGAAACUCACUUAGAGUAAUGUCUAAGUAUCAUUAAGUGAAUACAUAGCUUAAUGAGGGGAACUCAGGGAACUGAAACAUCUAAGUACCUGAAGGAAGAGAAAGAAAUUCGAUUCCGUAAGUAGCGGCGAGCGAACGCGGAUUAGCCCAAACCAAUAAAGUUUUCUUUAUUGGGGUUGCGGACAUAUCAUAACGAAGAGGUAUCGUAAUUGAAGAGGUUUGGAAAGACCCACCACAGAAGGUAAUAGUCCUGUAUGUUAAACGAGAAGACUUCAGAUAUGAUCCAGAGUACCACGGGACACGUGAAACCCUGUGGGAAGCAGGAGGGACCACCCUCCAAGGCUAAAUACUACCUAGUGACCGAUAGCGUAUAGUACCGUGAGGGAAAGGUGAAAAGAACCCCGGGAGGGGAGUGAAAUAGAACCUGAAACCCUGCACUUACAAGCUGUGGAAGCACAUUUCUUGUGUGACCGCGUACUUUUUGUAGAACGGGCCAACGAGUUACGUUAAGUAGCAAGGUUAAGCACUUAAGGUGUGGAGCCGUAGCGAAAGCGAGUUUUAACUGAGCGUUCAGUUACUUGACGUAGACCCGAAACCGGGCGACCUACCCAUGAGCAGGAUGAAGCGAAAGUAAAAUUUCGUGGAGGUCCGAACCCACGAGCGUUGAAAAGCUCGGGGAUGACUUGUGGGUAGCGGUGAAAUUCCAAUCGAGCCCGGAGAUAGCUGGUUCUCCCCGAAAUAGCUUUAGGGCUAGCCUCAAGGUGAGAGAUACGGAGGUAGAGCACUGAAUGUCCUAGGGUGUAUUGCACCUACCGAAGACUAUCAAACUCCGAAUGCCGUCAUCUUAUACUUGGGAGUCAGACUGUGGGUGAUAAGAUUCAUAGUCGAAAGGGCAACAGCCCAGAUCGUCAGCUAAGGUCCCUAAAUGUAAGUUAAGUGGUAAAGGAUGUGGGAUUGCACAGACAACCAGGAUGUUGGCUUAGAAGCAGCCACUCAUUCAAAGAGUGCGUAAUAGCUCACUGGUCGAGUGAUCCUGCGCCGAAGAUUUCCGGGGCUAAAACUUACUACCGAAGCUACGGCAUCAGUAAUGAUGGGUAGGGGAGCUUCCCAUACGGGUUGAAGCAUGACCGUAAGGACAUGUGGACAGUAUGGGAGUGAGAAUGUUGGCAUGAGUAGCGAGAUGUGGGUGAGAAUCCCACAGGCCGUAAACCCAAGGUUUCCAGGGGAAGGUUCGUCCGCCCUGGGUUAGUCGGGACCUAAGCUGAGGCCGAAAGGCGUAGGUGAUGGACAACAGGUUGAUAUUCCUGUACUACCGAUAACCGUUUGAGAGAAGGGAUGACACAGUAGGAUAAGCUAAGCACACUGUUGGUUAUGUGUGCCCAAGCAUUGAGGCAGUCAAAGUAGGCAAAUCCGCUUUGAUAAUGCUGGGAUGUGAUGGGGAGCGAAAUUUAGUAGCGAAGUAGCUGAUUUCACACUGUCAAGAAAAGUCUCUAUCGAGGUUAAAGGUACCCGUACCGCAAACCGACACAGGUGGGUGAGGAGAGUAUCCUAAGGCCAGCGAGAGAACUGUUGUUAAGGAACUCGGCAAAAUGACCCCGUAACUUAGGGAUAAGGGGUGCCACCAUCAGGUGGCCGCAGAGAAUAGGCCCAAGCGACUGUUUACCAAAAACAUAGGUUUCUGCUAAGUCGCAAGACGAUGUAUAGGAGCUGACGCCUGCCCGGUGCUGGAAGGUUAAGGGGAUCUGUUAGAGCAAUCGAAGCAGUGAACUUAAGCCCCAGUAAACGGCGGCCGUAACUAUAACGGUCCUAAGGUAGCGAAAUUCCUUGUCGGGUAAGUUCCGACCCGCACGAAAGGCGUAACGAUUUGGGCACUGUCUCAACAACAGACUCGGUGAAAUUGUAAUUCCGGUGAAGAUGCCGGAUACCUGCGACAGGACGGAAAGACCCCAUGGAGCUUUACUGUAGCUUGACAUUGGGUUUUGGUACUACAUGUACAGGAUAGGUGGGAGGCUUUGAAACCAGGACGCCAGUUUUGGCGGAGCCAUCCUUGGGAUACCACCCUUGUAGUACUGGGACUCUAACCAUAGGCCAUGAAUCUGGUCUUGGGACACUGUCAGGUGGGCAGUUUGACUGGGGCGGUCGCCUCCCAAAAGGUAACGGAGGCGCUCAAAGGUUCUCUCAGUACGGUCGGAAAUCGUACGUAGAGUGUAAAGGCAAAAGAGAGCUUGAUUGCAAGACAUACAGGUCGAGCAAGGAUGAAAAUCGGACUUAGUGAUCCGGUGGUUCUGCGUGGAAGGGCCAUCGCUCAACGGAUAAAAGCUACCCUGGGGAUAACAGGCUUAUCUCCCCCAAGAGUCCACAUCGACGGGGAGGUUUGGCACCUCGAUGUCGGCUCAUCACAUCCUGGGGCUGUAGUAGGUCCCAAGGGUUGGGCUGUUCGCCCAUUAAAGUGGUACGCGAGCUGGGUUCAGAACGUCGUGAGACAGUUCGGUCCCUAUCCGUCGCAGGCGUAGGAAAUUUGAGAAGACCUGUCCUUAGUACGAGAGGACCGGGAUGGACGUACCUCUGGUGUACCAGUUGUUCUGCCAAGGGCAUGGCUGGGUAGCUAUGUACGGAAUGGAUAAGCGCUGAAAGCAUCUAAGCGCGAAGCCAACUUCAAGAUAAGAUUUCCCACCGCAAGGGUAAGACCCCAGAAAGACUAUCUGGUUGAUAGGUCGAAGGUGUAAGUGCAGCAAUGUAUUUAGCUUAUCGAUACUAAUAGGUCGAGGACUUGACCAA